This 589-nucleotide long non-coding RNA is filed under the name Homo sapiens (human). RNAcentral's name for it is "HSALNT0337457". The record is from RNAcentral. Lineage: Eukaryota; Metazoa; Chordata; Mammalia; Primates; Hominidae.
AUCUACACUGAAGAUACAGGUAUGAUUUAUAUCACAAAAAAAUAUACCAACAUUCCAUGUGGCAUCUGUCAGCCAACGCAGAGGCAAUAGAGGAAUUUGUGUGUGUGUGUGAGAUUAAAAAGGAUGUUGAAUAAUUAGUAUUCUAAUUUAUAACAUAUCACGCUGUUGUGCUGCUUCUUUUUAAGCCUAUUUUUAAAAUCAUCUCAUGAUACAUUUGACUUUCUCUCUUCAUGAACUUAAAGAAAUCUCUUUAAGUGAUUUAUGAUAACCUAAGAUUGGUUAUGAAACACUAUUCAAUUUUACAGAAUAAUUAGCUUUCGAAUUCUUAGACAAGAUAUAUUCUGAAAUAUAUCCAAAUCGCCAGACUUUAAAAGGUCAUUAACAAAUCCAAUGAAUGAGGGCAUAGUAAUGCAUUUAGAGAUCAAAAAUGGAGCAAGAAUUCAAGUAUAUAUUCAGCUUUCUGAAACCCCCUCUGUCUGCUCUAUCAACAAUCACCAAAAGGAGACUGAACAGGAACUGCCUAUCCAAUUCCUACACUGAGCACAAAACAAGGAUAAUAGCAAAAGAAGAGCGAAAUAAAUCCAAAUCA